UACGUAGGGUGCGAGCGUUAAUCGGAAUUACUGGGCGUAAAGCGUGCGCAGGCGGUUCGUUGUGUCGGCGGUGAAAGCCCCGGGCUUAACCUGGGAAUGGCCGUUGAAACUGGCGAACUGGAGUGUGGCAGAGGGGGGUGGAAUUCCGCGUGUAGCAGUGAAAUGCGUAGAGAUGCGGAGGAACACCAGUGGCGAAGGCGAUCAUCUGGGACUAACCUGACGCUGAGGAGCGAAAGCCAGGGGAGCAAACGGG
RNAcentral lists this ribosomal RNA (253 nucleotides) under uncultured bacterium. RNAcentral describes it as "partial 16S ribosomal RNA". It matches the Rfam family "Bacterial small subunit ribosomal RNA", at positions 524 to 776 of the family's 1533-position model. The record is from RNAcentral.